GACGAACGCUGGCGGCGUGCUUAACACAUGCAAGUCGAACGGAAAGGCCCUGCUUUUGUGGGGUGCUCGAGUGGCGAACGGGUGAGUAACACGUGAGUAACCUGCCCUUGACUUUGGGAUAACUUCAGGAAACUGGGGCUAAUACCGGAUAGGAGCUCCUGCUGCAUGGUGGGGGUUGGAAAGUUUCGGCGGUUGGGGAUGGACUCGCGGCUUAUCAGCUUGUUGGUGGGGUAGUGGCUUACCAAGGCUUUGACGGGUAGCCGGCCUGAGAGGGUGACCGGCCACAUUGGGACUGAGAUACGGCCCAGACUCCUACGGGAGGCAGCAGUGGGGAAUAUUACACAAUGGGCGGAAGCCUGAUGCAGCAACGCCGCGUGCGGGAUGACGGCCUUCGGGUUGUAAACCGCUUUCGCCUGUGACGAAGCGUGAGUGGCGGUAAUGGGUAAAGAAGCACCGGCUAACUACGUG
This 468-nucleotide ribosomal RNA is filed under the name uncultured bacterium. RNAcentral's name for it is "partial 16S ribosomal RNA". It matches the Rfam family "Bacterial small subunit ribosomal RNA", at positions 28 to 507 of the family's 1533-position model. The record is from RNAcentral.